Molecule: ribosomal RNA, 254 nt
Filed under: uncultured bacterium
Lineage: Bacteria
Description: partial 16S ribosomal RNA
Rfam family: Bacterial small subunit ribosomal RNA
Source: RNAcentral
UACGUAGGGUGCGAGCGUUGUCCGGAUUUAUUGGGCGUAAAGAGCUCGUAGGCGGUCUGUCGCGUCGGAUGUGAAAACCCAGGGCUACAACCCUGGGCCUGCAUUCGAUACGGGCAGACUAGAGUACGGCAGGGGAGACUGGAAUUCCUGGUGUAGCGGUGAAAUGCGCAGAUAUCAGGAGGAACACCGGUGGCGAAGGCGGGUCUCUGGGCCGAAACUGACGCUGAGGAGCGAAAGCGUGGGGAGCGAACAGG